This 320-nucleotide ribosomal RNA is filed under the name uncultured Prevotella sp. RNAcentral's name for it is "partial 16S ribosomal RNA". Lineage: Bacteria; Pseudomonadati; Bacteroidota; Bacteroidia; Bacteroidales; Prevotellaceae. The record is from RNAcentral.
GGAGUUUGGUCCGUGUCUCAGUACCAAUGUGGGGGACCUUCCUCUCAGAACCCCUACUGAUCGUUGCCCCGGUGGGCCGUUACCCCGCCGGCAAGCUAAUCAGACGCAUCCCCAUCCCUUACCGAUGAAUCUUUGUUCCUCGUUAGAUGCCUGCAAAGGAGAACAUAGAGUAUUAAUUCGCCUUUCGGCGGGCUAUCCCUGAGUGAUGGGAAGGUUGGAUACGCGUUACUCACCCGUGCGCCGGUCGCCAUCUACCAAAGCAAGCUUCGAUAAUGCUGCCCCUCGACUUGCAUGUGUUAAGCCUGUAGCUAGCGUUCAUC